RNAcentral lists this long non-coding RNA (611 nucleotides) under Homo sapiens (human). Its description in RNAcentral is "HSALNT0371925". Lineage: Eukaryota; Metazoa; Chordata; Mammalia; Primates; Hominidae. The record is from RNAcentral.
CUGAGAUCCUGGAAUCCAGCAGGGUCCCUGGCCGCCUCCUGGAACACUUGCCUCACCCCACAGGGCUCCUGGGCCCCACGGCAGCUCCAGCGGCUGCCUGGGGUCCCCCUGGGCAAACCAUGCUACCCCUCCGGCUGCACCUCAGGACCUCCCGCCCCCUCUCUCCUUCCCAGAGUCCAGCAGCUGGUCCCACAGCAUCACUGUGAGUGCAGGGCCGGAGCCCUCACCCCGCGCCUCCCACCACCUGCCCCUCCGCAGACUCCACACCGUGCACCCGGCCCUGCGGCUCCUGGCCUUCCUUGACCUCGCAGAUGCCCUGCUCUCUGGUCUGAGGGCUGUGAUUCCUCCCAGACGCCACCUCCUUCCAGGGAGAAUUCAGUUUCUUGUCCAUGGAGAAGCUGCUCCUGGGAAGGAGGACGCCAGGGGUCCCUUCAUCUCCUCCUCGGCCGCCUGGCAGGGCCUCCUGCGCGUCCCUGCUCCCUCCUGCCUCCACGGCUGUGAUGCAGACGCCUCCCACGUUUACCAAGUGUGCAGAACAGACUGGUGGUCUUUUUUUUAAAAUUAACUACAUUUUACUGAUCCCUGGGUGAAAGAUAAAACACAUAAGCAAA